This 381-nucleotide ribosomal RNA is filed under the name uncultured eukaryote. RNAcentral's name for it is "SSU rRNA". It matches the Rfam family "Eukaryotic small subunit ribosomal RNA", at positions 567 to 990 of the family's 1831-position model. The record is from RNAcentral.
CCAGCACCUGCGGUAAUUCCAGCUCCAAUAGCGUAUAUUAAAGUUGUUGCAGUUAAAACGCUCGUAGUCUGAUGUAAUGGGGACUGGUGUGGGGAGCAGCAAUGCUCUUUGCUUCGGUCCUCAUCAACGGGACAGCAAUGUCGGGGUUACUUUGAGGAAAUUAGGGUGUUCAAGGCAGGCGUGUGCUUGGAUAUCGCAGCAUGGAAUAACGGAGUAGGAUUCGCUUCUUAUUUUGUUGGUUUGGGGGAGUGAGUAAUGAUUAGUAGGGGCAGUUGGGGGCAUUGGUAUUUGGUAGUCAGAGGUGAAAUUCUUGGAUUUACCAAAGACUAACUGGUGCGAAAGCGUUUGCCAAGGAUGUUUUCAUUGAUCAAGAACGAAAGU